CGUUUUUCGGGAAUAGAGGACGUGCUGCGAACAGCCGUGCGGAUCCGUACGAAAUACAAGUACCGAAUGGCAACGAAAAAAAAAAAAAAAACCCGUCAUAGAGUCGAUGGGAGGAUGGGUGGGGGGAGGGAGGAGAGUGCCGGAGAAACGUGCGCGUCGUGUUGUACCGCCGUCGGCCCGCCCGACCGGAUAUUAGACUUCUGCGCGGUACCUAACCGCCUGUAACGUUGCACUGUCGACG
Cinara cedri is the source of this 241-nucleotide non-coding RNA. The record is from the annotation of a GenBank genome assembly. Lineage: Eukaryota; Metazoa; Arthropoda; Insecta; Hemiptera; Aphididae.